AGGACGAACGCUGGCGGCGUGCUUAACACAUGCAAGUGGAGCGACGAACCAGGGCUUGCCCUGGGGCAGAGCCGCGAACGGGUGAGUAACACGUGGGUAACGUGCCCCGAUGAUCGGGACAACCCGGGGAAACCCGGGCUAAUACCGAAUGUGCUCCCCUCACACCAGUGAGGGAUGGAAAGGAAGCUUCGGCCUCCGCAUCGGGAUCGGCCCGCGGCCCAUUAGCUUGUUGGUGAGGUAACGGCUCACCAAGGCUUCGAUGGGUAGCUGGUCUGAGAGGACGAUCAGCCACACUGGGACUGAGACACGGCCCAGACUCCUACGGGAGGCAGCAGUGGGAAUCUUGCGCAAUGCGCGAAAGCGUGACGCAGCAACGCCGCGUGGGGGAAGACGGGCCUUCGGGUUGUAAACCCCGUUUCAGGAGGACGAAGCCAGGGCGGUUAAUAGCCGACUCGGUGACGGUACCUCCAGAAGAAGCCCGGCUAACUACGUGCCAGCACGCCGC
Molecule: ribosomal RNA, 505 nt
Filed under: uncultured soil bacterium
Lineage: Bacteria
Description: bacterial SSU rRNA
Rfam family: Bacterial small subunit ribosomal RNA
Source: RNAcentral